Molecule: ribosomal RNA, 291 nt
Filed under: uncultured bacterium
Lineage: Bacteria
Description: partial 16S ribosomal RNA
Rfam family: Bacterial small subunit ribosomal RNA
Source: RNAcentral
UGCCAGCAGCCGCGGUAAUACGUAGGGUGCAAGCGUUAAUCGGAAUUACUGGGCGUAAAGCGUGCGCAGGCGGUUAUGCAAGACAGAUGUGAAAUCCCCGGGCUCAACCUGGGAACUGCAUUUGUGACUGCAUGGCUAGAGUACGGUAGAGGGGGAUGGAAUUCCGCGUGUAGCAGUGAAAUGCGUAGAUAUGCGGAGGAACACCGAUGGCGAAGGCAAUCCCCUGGACCUGUACUGACGCUCAUGCACGAAAGCGUGGGGAGCAAACAGGAUUAGAUACCCUGGUAGUCC